RNAcentral lists this ribosomal RNA (1447 nucleotides) under Enterocloster bolteae 90B8. RNAcentral describes it as "bacterial LSU rRNA". It matches the Rfam family "Bacterial large subunit ribosomal RNA", at positions 1463 to 2925 of the family's 2925-position model. The record is from RNAcentral. Lineage: Bacteria; Bacillati; Bacillota; Clostridia; Lachnospirales; Lachnospiraceae.
ACUGUGGGGACACAGAAGGACAACACAUCCCGGGAAUGGGAAUACCGGGGCAAGCGAGGUAGGAGUACGGUUGGCAAAUCCGCCGUGCAAUCCGAAGACGUGACGCGCAGCGAACUAAAGUAGCGAAGUGUGUGAUUCCGGCUGUCAAGAAAAGCCGCUAUUGUGUGAUACAUGCCCGUACCGUAAACCGACACAGGUAGAUGAGGAGAGAAUCCUAAGGCCGGCGGGAGAAGCAUUGUUAAGGAACUCGGCAAAAUGACCCCGUAACUUCGGGAGAAGGGGUGCCACAGAGAUGUGGCCGCAGAGAAUAGGCUCAAGCAACUGUUUAGCAAAAACACAGGUCUAUGCAAAACCGUAAGGUGAGGUAUAUGGGCUGACGCCUGCCCGGUGCUGGAAGGUUAAGAGGAGAGGUUAGCGCAAGCGAAGCUUUGAAUUUAAGCCCCAGUAAACGGCGGCCGUAACUAUAACGGUCCUAAGGUAGCGAAAUUCCUUGUCGGGUAAGUUCCGACCCGCACGAAAGGCGUAAUGAUUUGAGCGCUGUCUCAACAAUGCACCCGGUGAAAUUGAAAUACCAGUGAAGAUGCUGGUUACCUGCGCCAGGACGGAAAGACCCCAUGGAGCUUUACUCCAGUUUGAUACUGGGAUUCGGUAUUGCAUGUACAGGAUAGGUGGGAGGCUUUGAAACAUGGACGCCAGUCUGUGUGGAGCCAAUGUUGGGAUACCACCCUUGCGAUAUUGGGUUUCUAACCUGCGCCCGUGACCCGGGCGGGGGACAAUGUCAGGCGGGGAGUUUGACUGGGGCGGUCGCCUCCGAAAGGGUAUCGGAGGCGCUCAAAGGUUCCCUCAGGAUGGUUGGAAACCAUCCAAAGAGUGCAAAGGCAUAAGGGAGCUUGACUGCGACACCGACGGGUGGAGCAGGUACGAAAGUAGGACUUAGUGAUCCGGUGGUAUGAAAGUGGGAUUGCCAUCGCUCAACGGAUAAAAGCUACCCUGGGGAUAACAGGCUUAUCACUCCCAAGAGUUCACAUCGACGGAGUGGUUUGGCACCUCGAUGUCGGCUCAUCGCAUCCUGGGGCUGUAGCAGGUCCCAAGGGUUGGGCUGUUCGCCCAUUAAAGCGGUACGCGAGCUGGGUUCAGAACGUCGUGAGACAGUUCGGUCCCUAUCCGGCGCGGGCGUAGGAUAUCUGAGAGGAGCUGUCCUUAGUACGAGAGGACCGGGAUGGACAGACCGCUGGUGUACCUGUUGGCCUACCAAGGCCAUGGCAGGGUAGCCAAGUCUGGACGGGAUAAACGCUGAAGGCAUCUAAGCGUGAAGCCCCCCUCAAGAUGAGAUAUCCCAUCGCGAAAGCGAGUAAGACCCCUUGAAGACGACGAGGUAGAUAGGUUAGAGGUGGAAGUGCAGUAAUGUACGGAGCUGACUAAUACUAAUCGGUCGAGGGCUUAUCCA